This 427-nucleotide ribosomal RNA is filed under the name uncultured bacterium. Its description in RNAcentral is "partial 16S ribosomal RNA". It matches the Rfam family "Bacterial small subunit ribosomal RNA", at positions 355 to 774 of the family's 1533-position model. The record is from RNAcentral.
UGGGGAAUAUUGCACAAUGGGCGCAAGCCUGAUGCAGCCAUGCCGCGUGUAUGAAGAAGGCCUUCGGGUUGUAAAGUACUUUCAGCGAGGAGGAAGGCGGUAAGGUUAAUAACCUUAUCGAUUGACGUUACUCGCAGAAGAAGCACCGGCUAACUCCGUGCCAGCAGCCGCGGUAAUACGGAGGGUGCAAGCGUUAAUCGGAAUUACUGGGCGUAAAGCGCACGCAGGCGGUCUGUCAAGUCGGAUGUGAAAUCCCCGGGCUCAACCUGGGAACUGCAUUCGAAACUGGCAGGCUAGAGUCUUGUAGAGGGGGGUAGAAUUCCAGGUGUAGCGGUGAAAUGCGUAGAGAUCUUGAGGAAUACCGGUGGCGAAGGCUGCCCCCUGGACAAAGACUGACGCUCAGGUGCGAAAGCGUGGGGAGCAAACA